RNAcentral lists this ribosomal RNA (254 nucleotides) under uncultured bacterium. RNAcentral describes it as "partial 16S ribosomal RNA". It matches the Rfam family "Bacterial small subunit ribosomal RNA", at positions 524 to 776 of the family's 1533-position model. The record is from RNAcentral.
UACGUAGGGUCGAGAGCGUUGUCCGGAAUUACUGGGCGUAAAGAGCUCGUAGGUGGUUUGUCGCGUUGUUCGUGAAAACUCACAGCUUAACUGUGGGCGUGCGGGCGAUACGGGCAGACUUGAGUACUGCAGGGGAGACUGGAAUUCCUGGUGUAGCGGUGGAAUGCGCAGAUAUCAGGAGGAACACCGGUGGCGAAGGCGGGUCUCUGGGCAGUAACUGACGCUGAGGAGCGAAAGCGUGGGGAGCGAACAGG